GCCAGGCGCAGUGGCUCACGCCUGUAAUCCCAGCACUUUGGGAGGCUGAGGUGGGGGGAUCACUUGAGCCCAGGAGUUCAAGACCUGCCUGGGCAACAUGGUGAGACCCCAUCUCUA
Molecule: unclassified non-coding RNA, 117 nt
Organism: Macaca fascicularis (crab-eating macaque)
Lineage: Eukaryota; Metazoa; Chordata; Mammalia; Primates; Cercopithecidae
Rfam family: Metazoan signal recognition particle RNA
About the family: The signal recognition particle (SRP) is a universally conserved ribonucleoprotein.
Source: Ensembl